UCCUCUCUUUUUCUAGAUAUAGAUAGUUUACUUAAUUUGUAUUCCUCUUUUUCUAGAUACAAAUAGUUUACCUUGUACUGACUUCUCGAGUUCUUUCAUUUUCAAACACUCAAAUUUAAUUCUUUAUCAUUUUCUUUAGACCGUGCAAUUUUUAUAAUUCUUUAAUUUAAAUUAGGCUUAAUACCUAUUUUGGUCCUUCGAAAGAGGGGUUUUGUUCAAAAUCGUCCUACUUUUUUUGAAAAAUAACAAUUCAACCCACUUAUUAAAAAAACUGUCCAAAUUAAUCCUUUUGGCUAACACCGUUAAAAAUUUAACGUUAGAGCUGCCCUCCUGGACUAAAGUUAAUGACAUGUGAUUGUGUGGCAGUUUCAACUUUAUUGAUGUGUAAAAAUAAAAUUAAAAUGUUAUUAUUGAUGUAUACUAUGCUGUGAGAAAGAGAGGUUAAAAAAAAUUGUGGUUAGGACUAGAAGAAAAAUCGCGAUUUGGAAUUAAACUUCCUGGUGCAAGCUUCGUAAAUUAGGGUGUCAAGGUGAAGAACAAACAGCGUAUACGAUCUGGACAUCAUCUUUGCGCCUUCCCCAUUGCCGGGAAAUUCCAGAGGCCAAAUCUAAAAGAUUUGUAUACGAUAUGGACAUCAUUUUUGCGCCUCCCAAUAUAAUACCCAAUCCUACAAAACUCCUUCACUCUGCAAAAUCAAAGAAAACAACAGCAAACAAAAACCCAUUAAUCAUUGAAGGCACAAGAACAACCUAACACAUAGCCUUCAAACCCAAACACACACAUUUUCAUACAUCAACAUGUGAGAACUGGAUUCAUUAAGUGAUAAAUAACGAAACACAUAUUCCAAUCUUAGAUACUAUGCAAAAGCCCCAAAUUCUUGACCGCCAAAAUAGGUUACAUCACAUUGAGCACAAGAACAAACACCCUUUACAAGGGUUUCAAAAAAAUUGGGAUUAGGUUUUAAAAAAUCCCCUUCCUCACCAAAAAUUAGGGUUUCAAGUUGGGGAAGGGGCUCUUUGUCGUUCAACAUCGUCUUGCACGCGGGAAAGGAGGCGCGACCUGCUUGUUGUCUUUCUGAUGCAGGUUGAAUUGCGAUGGCUUCUCCAAGGCGCGACAAGGUGGCAUGGUGGAAGGGAGAAGACGAGAUACAAUGCAAAGAUGGUGGAGUCGCGAUUUGGGGUUCUGUUCUUUUGCAGGUGCGUUAAUGGUGGAGGAUGAAGGAAUCCCGACUGGGAUUUCGCAGUGGUAACGACACUUUUUGUUUCUGAUUUUGGUUGUAGGUGGUGGAGAAGCUACGAGAUGGUGGUGAUGGUUGAAGAUCGAUUCACCGCUGUUGAUGGCGCGACGACGCUUUGGGUAGUGAAGCGAUGAGGUUCUCGCCUUCUGCGUUUCUGCAGGUUGCGCUCUGCUGAUGGCGCGACGACGUUAGGUGGCAUGACUCCUGAUGGCGGCAGCACGACGAGUCGCAAUGUGGUUGCCGGCGUCUAGGUGGUUGCUGAGGGUCGCUGGGUGGCUGCCAUGAAGGUGGUGCAAUGAAGAAUUUUUUAUAACCUAACCUCAUUUUUUUUAACCUAAUCCCAAAUUUUUUAAUCAAAAAAUAUAAUAACAUUUUAAUUUUACUUUGGCACGUCAAAAAACUAGAAACUGACACCAUAAUACUACGAAAUCAAUUAAAAGUGACACAUCAUGAAUUAAAAGUGACACAUCAUGAACCUUAGUCCACAGGAGCAUAUCUCACGUUAAAUUUUUAACGAAGUUAACCAAAAGUAGUAACUUGCACACUUAUUUCAAAAAGUAGGACUAAUGGUUACAUUUUAAAAAAAGUAGGACGAUUUUGAAUAAAAUUUGUUUUUCGAGAGACCAAAAUAGGUAUUAAACCUUUAAAUUAAGAUUUAUAUUUUCUCUAGAGUAAUGAUUUAUUCCUU
RNAcentral lists this long non-coding RNA (1925 nucleotides) under Vigna radiata. Its description in RNAcentral is "long non-coding RNA (VRAD_LNC017528)". Lineage: Eukaryota; Viridiplantae; Streptophyta; Magnoliopsida; Fabales; Fabaceae. The record is from RNAcentral.